GAGCCCGGAGCCCCUCUCUGAUCUCCAUCGCCGUCAUGGCUGCCGCCUCUGUCCAUCUUGAAUCCGGCGACCUCGUGCUUUCCCCCUUAGCUCCUCCACCACCAGAGCAUUCCCCAAGGUCCAGCGAGCCGCCCCGUAGCCUCGGCCUCUUCUCUCCUCCACCGUAGCCCCCACUUCACCGGCGACAAAAGAUCCUCUCCGCCGCGGGCCCUGCAGCCCCUUCUCUGGUGCUCCUCGGCGGCAGUAACCACCACCCCGAGAUGCGCCUCUCCGUCCUGCGCAUUUCGGUAGGUCGCCCGUCUCCUAUGGUGGCCGGAUGCGCCGGCGGUCGCCGUUGGGGCGCGCCUGCUCCCUCGGCCAGGCGAGCACUGCGCGGGAGGAAGGAGAAGACCGACCGGGCGGGCUCCGCCUCCAUGCGGGCCCCGCAAGUCAGCCACCCAGGGGUUGACCUGGUUCGCUGACCUGGCGUAAGUGGAGACGCCCCGGGUCGGAUGCGCUUUCGUCUCACGAAAGCGUACUUCGCCGCGCUUCAGAGAGGAAUGCGUUUUCGUUUUCUGAAAACGUACUUUCUAUCACCUUCGAUUAGUCCCUGUCAUUCCAACGGCCGUAUCUUUGCAACCGUAACUCCGAUUGAGCCCCCUCCUGGAGAGAACUAUUUCCGGCAAAUCUUUCUGCGAUCGUUCCGCACUUUUUCCUGGAGUAUUUGUCGACCCCCAAGCAAGCCAGCCUCUUAUCAUGAGCCCCGAACUUGCAUGUUGACUUUGCUUGCACCUUGUGUGUGUGUGUG
Molecule: long non-coding RNA, 787 nt
Organism: Aegilops tauschii subsp. strangulata
Lineage: Eukaryota; Viridiplantae; Streptophyta; Magnoliopsida; Poales; Poaceae
Source: RefSeq, a predicted model, not a curated record